AGUGGGAGAGGGUGAAGGAGAGAGAGAGUGCGAGAGAGCUAGAGAGAUUGUGCUGCUUGCAUGGCUGGUAACAACCAUUAUUUAAUUGCUCCUAUUAGACCAAGGAGCAUUCAUCACUAAUCUAUACAAGUCCUCUCAGAGGAAUGAAAAUAUCAAGUGUUCUUGACAAAGGUGGUUCUGGUGAAGCUAGAGUUCUGUCUGUCAUGUUAUUGCUUCUGUUUUGUUCUGUGAGGCAACCUGGUCUCAGGUCAAUUCCUACGAUUCGGGAUGUUUUUUUCUUUCUCUCCCAUUAGUAUGAUGAAUCCAGGCUGUGUGGAAAGGUAGUGUCUGGUGAGCUGGAGCUAGCUCCCCGACACCCACAGAGCUGUAGAGGAGAAACAAUGUUUUCAACAUGGAUCAGAGAGGAGGCUGGGGAAAGGACAGCACUCGCCUCCGGUGCAAAAACACCCACAGCGGCUACAGUACAAACACACGGAGAGAAGGACAGAAAGACACAAACACGACAGAGGGAGAAGGACCUGAGCCCUAGGACCAUGCCCCAGGACUACCUGACAUGAUGACUCCUUGCUGUCCCCAGUCCACCUGGCCAUGCUGCUGCUCCAGUUUCAACUGGUCUGGGCCCUAGGACCAUGUCCCAGGACUACCUGACAUGAUGACUCCUUGCUGUCCCCAGUCCACCUGGCCAUGCUGCUGCUCCAGUUUCAACUGUUCUGCCUUACUAUUAUUCAACCAUGCUGGUCAUUUAUGAACAUUUGAACAUCUUGGCCACGUUCUGUUAUAAUCUCCACCCGGCACAGCCAGAAGAGGACUGGCCACCCCACAUAUGCUCUCUCUAAUUCUCUCUUUCUUUCUCUCUCUCGGAGGACCUGAGCCCUAGGACCGUGCCCCAGGACUACCUGACAUGAUGACUCCUUGCUGUCCCCAGUCCACCUGACUGUGCUGCUGCUCCAGUUUCAACUGUUCUGCCUUAUUAUUAUUCGACCAUGCUGGUCAUUUAUGAACAUUUGAACAUCUUGGUCAUGUUCUGUUAUAAUCUCUACCCGGCACAGCCAAAAGAGGACUGGCCACCCCACAUAGUCUGGUUCCUCUCUAGGUUUCUUCCUAGGUUUUGGCCUUUCUAGGGAGUUUUUCCUAGCCACCGUGCUUUUACACCUGCAUUGUUUGCUGUUUGGGGUUUUAGGCUGGGUUUCUGUACAGCACUUUGAGAUAUCAGCUGAUGUACGAAGGGCUAUAUAAAUACAUUUGAUUUGAUUUGAUUUGAAUGAGUAGGCGUGUCCAAACAUUUGACUGGUACUGUGUGCAAAUAAGCUAUUUCUGUUUUGUAUUUUUAAUACAAAUGUUUGGACACACCUUUUGUGUGUAGACUUUGAGGAAUUGUUUUUAUUUAAUCCAUUUUAGAAUAAGGCUGUAAACAUAACAAAAUGUGGAAAAAGUCAAGGGGUCUGAAUACUUUCAGAUGGCACUAUAAGUAGGCUAUAUUUCAAACUUUUAAACCUUUUACUCAAGUAGUAUUUUACUGACUUUCUCUUUUUCUAUCAAUCUAUCUUUACUUUUACUACCACUGUAAAAGUAAAAGUAUAAAUAAUUUCAUAUUUCUUAUGUUAAGCAAACCAGAAAGCACCAUUUUAUUUUAUUUAGGGAUAGCCAGGGGCUAUUAGCCAGGGGCUAUUGGUUGCAGUUUCUAUGUUACAAUGAUAAAAAUGUAAUACAUCUUUAAUAAUGUUAAUCCAAAUGUGUUGUUACGUGUCAAGUUAUAUGGCUACAAUUUGAUUGUUUUAAGUGUAAUUUUAUGAUUAGUUUAAAAAAAGCUAUUGUUUAAAGACUUGAAAUAGCUAUUGUUUACUUUUUAUUUUUCUCAAUAAAUAUUGUCUAUUUGUUCGGCCUGAGGUCUACCACUCAGAUUAUAUUUUGGCCCACAAAAACUUUGAGCACCCCUGAUUUAGACAAACCCUCAAUGCUGCAAAUGCUAGGCUACAAGCAUGGGGAAAUAAUGUCUUGCCGCUUUUUUUCCAGGGGAGAUGAAGUUUAUGAAUGGCCUGGCUGGGCUUUGGCACAAUUUCAAUGGAGCUGUGAACCAGAAUUACUCGGGGAUCUGCUAUCAAUCAAUCAGCAUCCCAGAUCCAAAUAACCACUUUAGAUGACUGGCUAGAUUACCUGUUUAGCUGACAUGGGCUAAUUGAGUGACUGUCAGUGACUGACAGAACAAGUGGAAAACUGCUGAUGCACAAUACAAUUUUGAAAUUGCACCUUGUGUGUUAUACUUGCGUGUAGUCUGCGCGUAGUCUACAUAUCGGAAGAGGCAGCUUUCCUUCAGCCAAACAUUUUAAAUAUACAGGUAUCACAUAUGACACAGAACACAUCACAGGUACUCUGAUUUAAGGGGCAGUCUGCAGUUGCUCCAUCCAUUUUUGGACUUAUAAAUAAUAUAUACCAUUUGAUUCUUGAAAAUAACUUAUAUAUGCCUCAUUAACUUAAUUCAACUGUCAUAGCCUAUGAUAACCCAAAAUGUUAGCUUGUAUUAUUCCAAUGUUUGUAAACAAUGUUCAUUUAAACAAAUCAUUUAUAGCCUCAAAAUAUGGUUAAAACUUGAAUUUUAAAAGGGAUGCUCAGUCCAUGGAUGGUCAGUCCUUGCAUCCAUAACUCUGUCUGUGCAUUUGAGAGUGGUAACAUUUCUCCAGGCCCAUCUCUCAGCUUUUUACCAAAAACAGAGGCUGGGUGCUGCCUUGUUAUUGUUUCAACUGUAGAUUUACCCUUUAAUAUGUUUACAUCAUAUAAUUACAUAUUGAAUCCUAUAUAAAGAAAUGUAAUAGCAUCUGUUGUCACGUUCUGACCUUAGUUCCUUUGUUAUGUCUUUGUUUUAGUAUGGUCAGGGCGUGGGUUGGGGUGGGUAGUCUAUGUUCUUUUUUCUAUGUUGUGUUUAUGUGUUUGGCCUGGUAUGGUUCUCAAUCAGAGGCAGGUGUCGCUCGUUGUCUCUGAUUGAGAAUCAUACUUAGGUAGCCUUUUCCCACCUGUGUUUUGUGAGUGAUUAUUUUCUGUUGUGUGUCUGCACCUUUCAGGACUGUUUCGUUUUCGUUUCUGUCUUUCACGUUGUUAUUUUGUAUUUUCAGUGUUCAGUUGAUUCAUUAAAUAUUAACAUGGACACAUA
Molecule: long non-coding RNA, 3145 nt
Organism: Oncorhynchus nerka (sockeye salmon)
Lineage: Eukaryota; Metazoa; Chordata; Actinopteri; Salmoniformes; Salmonidae
Exons: 2
Source: RefSeq, a predicted model, not a curated record